CGCAACGAGCGCAACCCUUGUCCUGUAUUGCCAGCGGGUUAUGCCGGGGACUUGCAGGAGACUGCCGGGGUCAACUCGGAGGAAGGUGGGGAUGACGUCAAGUCAUCAUGCCCCUUAUGUCCAGGGCUUCACACAUGCUACAAUGGCUGGUACAGAGGGCUGCGAUACCGUGAGGUGGAGCGAAUCCCUUAAAGCCAGUCUCAGUUCGGAUUGGGGUCUGCAACUCGACCCCAUGAAGUCGGAGUCGCUAGUAAUCGCAGAUCAGCAACGCUGCGGUGAAUACGUUCCCGGGCCUUGUACACACCGCCCGUCACGUCAUGAAAGUCGGUAACACCCGAAGCCGGUGGCCUAACCCCUUGUGGGAGGGAGCUGUCGAAGGUGGGAUCGGCGAUUGGGACGAAGUCGUAACAAGGUAGCCGUACCGGAAGGUGCGGCUGGAUCACCUCCUUU
RNAcentral lists this non-coding RNA (450 nucleotides) under Gordonia terrae NBRC 100016. RNAcentral describes it as "bacterial SSU rRNA". It matches the Rfam family "Bacterial small subunit ribosomal RNA", at positions 1088 to 1533 of the family's 1533-position model. The record is from RNAcentral. Lineage: Bacteria; Bacillati; Actinomycetota; Actinomycetes; Mycobacteriales; Gordoniaceae.